AUUGAACGCUGGCGGCAGGCCUAACACAUGCAAGUCGAGCGAGCGGCGGACGGGUGAGUACUGUAUGGGGACUGCCCGAUAGAGGGGGAUAACUACUGGAAACGGUAGCUAAUACCGCAUACUAUCGGAUAACCUCUAUGGGAUUAGUUAGUAGGUGAGGUAAUGGCUAACCUAGGCGACGAUCCCUAACUGGUCUGAGAGGAUGGUCAGUCACAAGUGAUCUGAGACAGGGCACAGGUGCCUAGGGAGGCAGCAGUGGGUAAUAUUGCACAAUUGGCGAAAGCCGGAUGCAUCCAUGCCGCGUGUAUGAAGAAGGCCCUAGGGUUGUAAAGUACUUUCAGGCGGGAGGCGUUACCGACAGAAGAAGCACCGGCUAAAUACGUGCCAGCAGCCGCGGUAAUUC
Molecule: ribosomal RNA, 403 nt
Filed under: uncultured bacterium
Lineage: Bacteria
Description: partial 16S ribosomal RNA
Rfam family: Bacterial small subunit ribosomal RNA
Source: RNAcentral